AGCGAACGUUGGGGGAAGGAAGAACACAUGCAAGUCGAACGAACCUUUCGGGGUUAGUGGCGGACGGGUGAGUAACACGUGGGAACGUGCCUUUAGGUUCGGAAUAACUCAGGGAAACUUGUGCUAAUACCGAAUGUGCCCUUCGGGGGAAAGAUUUAUCGCCUUUAGAGCGGCCCGCGUCUGAUUAGCUAGUUGGUUGAGGUAAUGGCUCACCAAGGCGACGAUCAGUAGCUGGUCUGAGAGGAUGAUCAGCCACAUUGGGACUGAGACACGGCCCAAACUCUUACGGGAGGCAGCAGUGGGGAAUCUUGCGCAAUGGGCGAAAGCCUGACGCAGCCAUGCCGCGUGAAUGAUGAAGGUCUUAGGAUUGUAAAAUUCUUUCACCGGGGACGAUAAUGACGGUACCCGGAGAAGAAGCCCCGGCUAACUUCGUG
Molecule: ribosomal RNA, 434 nt
Filed under: uncultured bacterium
Lineage: Bacteria
Description: partial 16S ribosomal RNA
Rfam family: Bacterial small subunit ribosomal RNA
Source: RNAcentral